GGAGUUGACUUGUUGACUAGAGAGAUAAGGCGGGAAAACUUGAGCAGGUGAUGGCGGUCUUACGGCGGGCUGUGGCGGUGGCUGCAUCUGCUGGGCCCACUGCUGCUGAUAUUGUGGUGGUGGUGGCUGAGAGAGUUGGGAGCGUGGCGGUGGUGGUUGAGUGACUUGGGUCUGGUAAUGUGGGUCUUGUUGCAGGUAGUGAUUUGGUGUUGGUGCUGGAGAUAGAUAGUAUGUUUGUGGCUGAGACAUGGGCGGUUGGUGGGCAGCAGGUGGUGGUGCAGGGAGUUGGGGAAGAGCAAGAGCUAGUUGCUGAUUGUGUCCUUCUGGAAAAUUGUCAUUCCUUUUAUCAGAAGAAGGUGUGGAAACCUCUUCAGUUUUCUGAGAUUCAGACUCUUUGUGUGCA
Molecule: long non-coding RNA, 403 nt
Filed under: Lactuca sativa (garden lettuce)
Lineage: Eukaryota; Viridiplantae; Streptophyta; Magnoliopsida; Asterales; Asteraceae
Description: long non-coding RNA (LSAT_LNC003676)
Source: RNAcentral